AGUCGAGCGGAUGACGGGAGCUUGCUCCUUGAUUCAGCGGCGGACGGGUGAGUAAUGCCUAGGAAUCUGCCUGGUAGUGGGGGACAACGUUUCGAAAGGAACGCUAAUACCGCAUACGUCCUACGGGAGAAAGCAGGGGACCUUCGGGCCUUGCGCUAUCAGAUGAGCCUAGGUCGGAUUAGCUAGUUGGUGAGGUAAUGGCUCACCAAGGCGACGAUCCGUAACUGGUCUGAGAGGAUGAUCAGUCACACUGGAACUGAGACACGGUCCAGACUCCUACGGGAGGCAGCAGUGGGGAAUAUUGGACAAUGGGCGAAAGCCUGAUCCAGCCAUGCCGCGUGUGUGAAGAAGGUCUUCGGAUUGUAAAGCACUUUAAUUGGGAGGAAGGGCAGUAAGCUAAUACCUUGCUGUUUUGACGUUACCGACAGAAUAAGCACCGGCUAACUCUGUGCCAGCAGCCGCGGUAAUACAGAGGGUGCAAGCGUUAAUCGGAAUUACUGGGCGUAAAGCGCGCGUAGGUGGUUCGUUAAGUUGGAUGUGAAAGCCCCGGGCUCAACCUGGGAACUGCAUCCAAAACUGGCGAGCUAGAGUACGGUAGAGGGUGGUGGAAUUUCCUGUGUAGCGGUGAAAUGCGUAGAUAUAGGAAGGAACACCAGUGGCGAAGGCGACCACCUGGACUGAUACUGACACUGAGGUGCGAAAGCGUGGGGAGCAAACAGGAUUAGAUAC
This 729-nucleotide ribosomal RNA is filed under the name Pseudomonas putida. RNAcentral's name for it is "bacterial SSU rRNA". It matches the Rfam family "Bacterial small subunit ribosomal RNA", at positions 60 to 785 of the family's 1533-position model. Lineage: Bacteria; Pseudomonadati; Pseudomonadota; Gammaproteobacteria; Pseudomonadales; Pseudomonadaceae. The record is from RNAcentral.